This 242-nucleotide unclassified non-coding RNA is filed under the name Hevea brasiliensis (rubber tree). The record is from RNAcentral. Lineage: Eukaryota; Viridiplantae; Streptophyta; Magnoliopsida; Malpighiales; Euphorbiaceae.
CCGGAGCCUUAUGAGAAGCUAAAGGAAUUAACCAGAGGAAAAACAGUUACUAAGGAAAGUAUAAGGAGAUUUAUUAAAGGAUUGGAGUUACCUAAUGAAGCUAAGACAAAUCUGUUGAAUCUAACACCUCAUAGCUAUGUUGGAGCAGCGGUUGAAUUGGCCAGGGAUGUAGACAUAGCCUUGAAUCUUGUGAACAGAGGAGAGCUCUUCUAAAUUCCAAGGGGGGCAUUGAUUUCACUAGG